CAAAAGUGCUAGUGUGAAAGACAUUUUAAAUUCAAUUCUGAAUGUUGCGCAACCCAGCAGCAUACGUUGUGCUGUGGAUUCCCAGCAGGAUUCUAACUAGGUUAUCCAGCAAUAUGUGAAAGAGCAUGCUAAGAUGGCCUUUUCAGCACGGUCAGACACACAUGUGGUUUCUUCAAUCCAAAGGUUUCCCAUCUCUCACAGCUCGAGGGGCAUUGAGAGCCCCGUUAGGCAGCAGCGGACUGAAUAAAACAUGCUUUGUGCCAGAGAGUGAUUGUUUCCACUGUAAUAUUGAUUUGAUUGAGGCCGGAGAUGUCAUUUACUGGCGAAAUUUUGAGUGAGGGUUCUGUUGCGAAAUGAAAACACUACACUAAACAGAUUUGAGAUGGGACGGCAACGCACUUAUGUGAUUUGAUGAGACAAAGAUGAGAUGGAGUGGAGUAUCUUGGGAAUCAAGAAAACCCCAGUGGUUACAAGCAUAUGUGUGUCUGCAGGGGCCCCAGUCCCUCCGUAAUUUGACAAGGACAACAGCAUGAAGAAAAUAGUGAAGAAGCACAUUGUUAUUAUCUCUAUUCCAAAACCUAGAGAGGUGCCUACUGCUACUGUAGGCAUCUGGCUUCUAAAACAUUGGCAUCUGGUAUCCUAACUGUCAUGGAACCUCAUAAGUGACUCCUUUGGCAGACUCUACAUUAUACUGUAUAUUUAUAUAGCAUCUUUCCAAAGCUCAAGGUCGCUUUCAAGAAAAUAAAAAAUAAAUAAAUAAAAACAUAAUAGCAUAUUGGCACAACGCAAAAUAGUAGCACAUACUUCAUUACAAAUUUUAAACUGGAAUAUGCUGGAAUGUGUGUGUGUGUGUGUGUGUGUGUGAGAAGGAUCGAUGCAAUGCUCCCUUUGAAUUAGGAUAAAAUGAGGUAUCAUAUAAAGACAGCAUUAUAAAGUUGGCUACCUUUCUGUACAACUUUCAUGCCACCUAUGAUGAAAUGUCCAAAAUGCUUACCACAGGCAGCUAAAUAGGUUUUGAAACAGAGCAAUUAUGUUUCUGCCAUCGCAUGAUGAGAUAUCCUGCAAUCUGGAUUUUAUGGGCUGAAUUGAGCAAGCAUUUUGUGGCAGCUCUUAUUUAGAAGAAAAACCUGGACAAAAAUGAAAGCCACAGAAUUAGGGAUCCCGCAUCUGGUUCAAUUACAUGUAGUGACAUCUUGUGCGUCAUAAACAACGCAGUGCAUUUAUUGUUAAAGUAAGA
Long non-coding RNA from Cyprinus carpio carpio, 1237 nucleotides. NCBI's taxonomy places the organism in Eukaryota, Metazoa, Chordata, Actinopteri, Cypriniformes, Cyprinidae. The record is from Ensembl.